ACGUGCUACGGGACGGGAGUCAGAGCCCAGGGCUGUCCCGGGGACCACCGCGCUGUCCCGGAGGGCGCGCCAUACCCACUCCAUUCCUGACGCCAUCCCCCACCCCUGGCCCCAUUCCCUGGCAUCCCUGGUCUCACCUCUGACCCCAUCCCCCUCAUCUCCGCUCCAGCCCUGAUCCAUCUCCACCUCCUCCAGCCAAGGCACCAGCACCUGCCAAAAUCUCACCUUUGUUUUGGUCCAAAAACUCUUCAGUGAAGAUGGGGACAUCGAAGGUGGAGAAGCCAUCACAGUCCACACCCUGGGACAUAGCAAUGAGUUUAGAGGGGACCCGCUUCUCUGGAACCUGGGAGGGUCUCCUGGGCCUCCUUGGCAGUGCAGACUGCUUUUAUUUAUUUCUGUGUGUGUCUGCCAUAUGCGUGCAGUACCCACAGUGGCCAGACAAGGGCAGAAGACACCCGGAGCUGACGGUGAUCGGCCAUGCGGGUGCUGGGGGCGUAGCACCAGGCUUCUGCAGAGCCGCCCAGCCUCUCAGGGCUGAAGCCAGGGCUCCACAUACCACGCAGGUGCUCUAUGGCUGGUGUCAAACCUGCCAUGAUCCUCCUACCAUAGGCUCCCGAGUGAGCCACCAUGCGCACCUCAGCAACAGUCAGCCGCAGCAAGGCUGGGGCCCAGUAUGGAGCACUGGCCCAGCACAAAGCUCUGGGAUGCACCGCCACGCCUGUCACCCCCCAACCGGAAAAAUCGAGGCAGACAGAUUGGGAAUUCAAGGCCAUCCUCAGCCACACAGAAGCUAGCCUGGGCUACAUGAGGCUCUCUCUCAAGUGAAAGAAACCUUCAACUGAC
Mesocricetus auratus (golden hamster) is the source of this 843-nucleotide long non-coding RNA. RefSeq lists it as uncharacterized. Lineage: Eukaryota; Metazoa; Chordata; Mammalia; Rodentia; Cricetidae. The record is from RefSeq and is a predicted model, not a curated record. The transcript is spliced from 2 exons.